Molecule: ribosomal RNA, 274 nt
Filed under: uncultured bacterium
Lineage: Bacteria
Description: partial 16S ribosomal RNA
Rfam family: Bacterial small subunit ribosomal RNA
Source: RNAcentral
AUACGGAGGGGGCAAGCGUUGUUCGGAAUUACUGGGCGUAAAGGGCGCGUAGGCGGAAUGUCAAGUCAGGGGUGAAAGGCCUGGGCUCAACCUGGGAAUUGCCUUUGAAACUGAUAGUCUAGAGGCCGGGAGAGGAUGGCGGAAUUCCCAGUGUAGAGGUGAAAUUCGUAGAUAUUGGGAAGAACACCGGUGGCGAAGGCGGCCAUCUGGCUCGGUACUGACGCUGAGGCGCGAAAGCGUGGGGAGCAAACAGGAUUAGAAACCCCAGUAGUCC